RNAcentral lists this ribosomal RNA (305 nucleotides) under uncultured bacterium. RNAcentral describes it as "bacterial SSU rRNA". It matches the Rfam family "Bacterial small subunit ribosomal RNA", at positions 334 to 637 of the family's 1533-position model. The record is from RNAcentral.
ACUUCCUACGGGAGGCAGCAGUGAGGAAUAUUGGUCAAUGGCCGAGAGGCUGAACCAGCCAAGUCGCGUGAGGGAAGACGGCCCUACGGGUUGUAAACCUCUUUUGUCGGGGAGCAAAGCGAACCACGUGUGGUUCAUUGAGAGUACCCGAAGAAAAAGCAUCGGCUAACUCCGUGCCAGCAGCCGCGGUAAUACGGAGGAUGCGAGCGUUAUCCGGAUUUAUUGGGUUUAAAGGGUGCGCGGGCGGAGUUGCAAGUCAGCGGUCAAAUUGCGGGGCUCAACCCCGUACUGCCGUUGAACCUGAC